This 887-nucleotide long non-coding RNA is filed under the name Nicotiana benthamiana. RNAcentral's name for it is "long non-coding RNA (NBEN_LNC012278)". Lineage: Eukaryota; Viridiplantae; Streptophyta; Magnoliopsida; Solanales; Solanaceae. The record is from RNAcentral.
UGGACACUAACAGGAAGUAUCUUCGUAAGUACUAGUGUAGAAAUAUGUCCAAAUCUUUGAUGCCACAGUUCCACAUUGCAGUUAUUUGCCUCACUUGCUGGCAGUUCAUUAGCAGCACACAUAGCUAUAUCCUUAUUCUUUGCAAGCUGAGCCAAUAAGAUGUAUAAUCCUCUCACUUGUUUACCAAUCUCCCUCACCUUCCCAGUGAUGAGAUCCUGAAAAACACAAAAAUCAGGAAAAAAAAGAUGUUGCUACACAUUGUAAUUCUUUUCAAGUUUGAUACUGAAAGCAAAUUAUAUUUGAAUUGAGGCACAUGAAAGACAUUAGUUAAAGUACUCUUGUCAGAAAUUGAACUUGCUCCAGUGUGAGUAACAAAAGACACAUCACCAUUUGGUAGAAGAACUUUCUUAAGAUUCAUAGUAUGUACUAUUCUAGACUUGUUGAGAAGGUUAGGAUCAUACACCAUAUGGUUUGUAGCACCAGUGUCUAUAAUCCAUUCUUGAGAACCAUUUGAAACCAAGAAAGCUUUAUUAGUACCUGUUACAUUAGCUGCUGAAUCCAUAUUAGUAGUAGUUGCUGAAGUCCCUUUGAGCAAUUGAACAAUCUGAUCAUAUUGCUCCUUUGUGAAGGCAAAGUUUCCCAGCUGGUUUGAAAUAGCUUCCAUUCCCUGACUGUAGUUUCCCACCUGAUCAUACUGUCUUUCAUUUGCAGACUUAUCAUUUGACGGCAAAUAUUUGCACUGUUGUUUUCAGCUAUUAUAUUAGCAACAUUGGCAUUGUGAGCUGCAUUAUAUUCUUUCCUUCUCUGCUUAAACUCUUGUGGAUAUCCCACUAACAACAACAACAACAACAACAACAACAACUAUCCAGUAUAGUCCCACAAAGUGG